This 292-nucleotide long non-coding RNA is filed under the name Erythranthe guttata (spotted monkey flower). RNAcentral's name for it is "long non-coding RNA (EGUT_LNC001999)". Lineage: Eukaryota; Viridiplantae; Streptophyta; Magnoliopsida; Lamiales; Phrymaceae. The record is from RNAcentral.
UGACGAAAAACGAACUUUUCUACGUCAGAGAAUUGAGGCUAGGCUUGCUGCUCUACUGCUCGAGAGCAAGGAAUAUUCUGAAGCACUAAAUCUCCUCUCGGGUCUCGUCAAGGAGGUGCGAAGAUUGGACGAUAAGCUCCUAUUGGUCGAAAUCGACUUGCUCGAGAGCAAACUCCAUUUCUCGUUGAGAAACCUCCCCAAAGCUAAAGCUGCACUAACGGCAGCAAGAACUGCAGCAAACGCUAUCUACGUGCCUCCAGCUCAGCAGGGAACUAUUGAUCUACAGAGUGGG